RNAcentral lists this non-coding RNA (162 nucleotides) under Palpitomonas bilix. The record is from RNAcentral.
AAGCAUCAACGGAACACUAAGCAGCUUCCCCCUUUCUCACUUUCCCACUCUCUUUGUAUUUUGAAGUUUUCCUAUUUUUUCCUUUUUCCCUUUUACAGAAGUGAUCAAGGCGCUUCUAGCGAAAUUUGAAAAAUCAGAGGCCAACAAGACAGGGAAUUUUAA